AAAUAGAGGUCCAAAGCCCCUAAAACCUACCGUGCUCCCAUCGUGGAAACCCUUUAAACAGAGAGCCCUCGCUGGCACUAGUUAUCUGAGAAGCAGAACCGCGCCCCGGCGCGAGAACUGAAAGAAAAUUA
This 131-nucleotide unclassified non-coding RNA is filed under the name soil metagenome. Its description in RNAcentral is "partial internal transcribed spacer 1". The record is from RNAcentral.